This is a non-coding RNA of Gossypium raimondii (Peruvian cotton), 144 nucleotides long. The record is from Rfam. NCBI's taxonomy places the organism in Eukaryota, Viridiplantae, Streptophyta, Magnoliopsida, Malvales, Malvaceae.
UAUUAAAAAUUUCAUCCAUUCUACAGUUAAAAACUGGCGUCACUGACAGAAUAGUCAAACAGUUACACAUAGUGUGCCACGUGUAUCUCAAGCUGACAUACAAGGAACAAUUUUUAACAGUAAAAAUUGAUGAAUUUUUUAACA